Helicoverpa zea (corn earworm) is the source of this 857-nucleotide long non-coding RNA. RefSeq lists it as uncharacterized. NCBI's taxonomy places the organism in Eukaryota, Metazoa, Arthropoda, Insecta, Lepidoptera, Noctuidae. The transcript has 5 exons. The record is from RefSeq and is a predicted model, not a curated record.
UAAAUUAUUUUUAAGUCGCCCUCGAUUUCUCAAGGUUUCCAUCAUCAGAUCCUGACCUGAUGGUAAUGGGACCACCUCGGAAGUAUACGCUAUCAAACAAAAAAAAGAAUCAUCAAAACAGUGACUGCUAUUGAAGGAGAUAUUGCCUUAAAGAUCCCGUGUGACGUCGCCGAUGUUCCUCGUCCAGUUAUAACGUGGCUUCACAAGGGCGUUAAGAUCACACCUAAUUCAAAGUACGCCGUUGAGGAUGGAAAUCUUGUUAUCAAGAAUCCUACUAAAACGGACAAAGGAAGCUAUACGUGUGAAGCCAAAAACUAUAUUGGGUCAGUUAGUGCCACAUUUGAGGUCAAUGUUGAUGAGGGACUCGUUGAUUUUGGCACGAAGCAUAACGUAUAUUUGCUUUUGGGUGAAACAAAAAAAUUGGAAUGUGGUGCUUAUAAAUCGAAAUCCCAGUCGAUAAAAUGGUUUAAAACGCACAGACAAGAUGGCGACGGUGAUAGAAGUUUUGCAUCGAAUGAUCCGAUUCGUUAAGGUCAGCUUCCAGUCGUGCAGUCUAACCGUUGCAGCUGAGUACGAGUGUUUUACAAAGAGCGACUGCCUAUCUGAAUACAAUAGCCCUAAAAAUCCAUUUCAACCAAAAACCGUCAACCAAUGUCUAAGGAUUGUCUUGUAAUCAUCAGUAUAAAUAAUAUUGAUGUAUAUGAUUCAGUAAAAAAAACUAGUAAAGGUGCGAGCAUAUCGUGUGGUCUUUCGUGUCUACGAUACAGGGUUAGUAGACAGAGGUCUUAAAUGAGUAGGUACAAUAAAAUGAAACAAGUUGUUUGGAAAUCAGAAGGCUAUUUCCAUUUUUAUUUUCU